AUUGAACGCUGGCGGCAUGCCUUACACAUGCAAGUCGAACGGCAGCACGGGAGCUUGCUCCUGGUGGCGAGUGGCGAACGGGUGAGUAAUACAUCGGAACGUACCCUGAAGUGGGGGAUAACGUAGCGAAAGUUACGCUAAUACCGCAUAUUCUGUGAGCAGGAAAGAGGGGGAGUCGCAAGACCUCUUGCUUUAGGAGCGGCCGAUGUCGGAUUAGCUAGUUGGUGAGGUAAAGGCUCACCAAGGCGACGAUCCGUAGCGGGUCUGAGAGGAUGAUCCGCCACACUGGGACUGAGACACGGCCCAGACUCCUACGGGAGGCAGCAGUGGGGAAUUUUGGACAAUGGGCGCAAGCCUGAUCCAGCCAUGCCGCGUGAGUGAAGAAGGCCUUCGGUGUAAGACUCUUCGUGGGAGAAU
Molecule: ribosomal RNA, 417 nt
Filed under: uncultured bacterium
Lineage: Bacteria
Description: bacterial SSU rRNA
Rfam family: Bacterial small subunit ribosomal RNA
Source: RNAcentral